UACGUAGGCAGCGAGCGUUGUUCGGAGUUACUGGGCGUAAAGGGCGCGUAGGCGGUUUGUACAGUCAGGUGUGAAAUUCCCGGGCUCAACCUGGGGGCUGCACUUGAUACGUAUGGACUGGAGUGGGGAAGAGGGUCGUGGAAUUCCCAGUGUAGAGGUGAAAUUCGUAGAUAUUGGGAAGAACACCGGUGGCGAAGGCGGCGACCUGGUCCUUGACUGACGCUGAGGCGCGAAAGCGUGGGGAGCAAACAGG
This 253-nucleotide ribosomal RNA is filed under the name uncultured bacterium. RNAcentral describes it as "partial 16S ribosomal RNA". It matches the Rfam family "Bacterial small subunit ribosomal RNA", at positions 524 to 776 of the family's 1533-position model. The record is from RNAcentral.